RNAcentral lists this unclassified non-coding RNA (376 nucleotides) under plant metagenome. RNAcentral describes it as "partial contains 5.8S ribosomal RNA, internal transcribed spacer 2, and large subunit ribosomal RNA". The stretch from base 1 to 105 matches the Rfam family "5.8S ribosomal RNA", at positions 50 to 154 of the family's 154-position model. The record is from RNAcentral.
GAAAUGCGAUAAGUAAUGUGAAUUGCAGAAUUCAGUGAAUCAUCGAAUCUUUGAACGCACCUUGCGCUCCUUGGUAUUCCUUGGAGCAUGCCUGUUUGAGUAUCUUGAAAUCUUCAAAGUAAAUCUUUUGUUAACUCAAUUGGUUUCUACUUUGGUAUUGGAGGUCUUUGCAGCUUCACACCUGCUCCUCUUUGUUCAUUAGCUGGAUCUCAGUGUUAUGCUUGGUUCCACUCGGCGUGAUAAGUUAUCUAUCGCUGAGGACACUGUAAAAGGUGGCCAAGGUAAAUGCAGAUGAACCGCUUCUAAUAGUCCAUUGACUUGGACAAUACUUUUAUGAUCUGAUCUCAAAUCAGGUAGGACUACCCGCUGAACUUAA